Molecule: ribosomal RNA, 447 nt
Filed under: uncultured bacterium
Lineage: Bacteria
Description: bacterial SSU rRNA
Rfam family: Bacterial small subunit ribosomal RNA
Source: RNAcentral
UUCCAGACUCCUACGGGAGGCAGCAGUGGGGAAUAUUGCACAAUGGGGGAAACCCUGAUGCAGCGACGCCGCGUGAGCGAUGAAGUAUUUCGGUAUGUAAAGCUCUAUCAGCAGGGAAGAAGAUGACGGUACCUGACUAAGAAGCCCCGGCUAACUACGUGCCAGCAGCCGCGGUAAUACGUAGGGGGCAAGCGUUAUCCGGAUUUACUGGGUGUAAAGGGAGCGUAGACGGCGAUGCAAGCCAGAUGUGAAAGCCCGGGGCUCAACCCCGGGACUGCAUUUGGAACUGUGUGGCUGGAGUGUCGGAGAGGCAGGCGGAAUUCCUAGUGUAGCGGUGAAAUGCGUAGAUAUUAGGAGGAACACCAGUGGCGAAGGCGGCCUGCUGGACGAUGACUGACGUUGAGGCUCGAAAGCGUGGGGAGCAAACAGGAUUAGAUACCCGUGUAG